Molecule: long non-coding RNA, 627 nt
Filed under: Ursus maritimus (polar bear)
Lineage: Eukaryota; Metazoa; Chordata; Mammalia; Carnivora; Ursidae
Description: lncRNA (ENSUMAG00000005055.1)
Source: RNAcentral
AGAUCUGGAUGUGCUUUAUUCUAGAAAUGAGUGACCAAUGUAAGCAAAGUUUUACCUGAACGGAUCUGGAAAGAAGAAACAAUAGCCUCCAUGUAUUGAGAACUCGUAAGUAUCAGAUGCUUCUCUGUAUUUCUGAGCCUCUUCGUGGGUAAAAGGGUAAAAUGGAGCAAGCUGCAUAAAAUGAGGCAACAGAGGUCUUGCACCACAAACAGCGCCGGCCGCCUGACCAUGGAUGGCGCAGGAGCGCUCUGCGGUGGGAUGAGCACGAGGCGAGGCCCCGAGGCAUCACCAGCGUCUGCGUGGGUACUGCUGCCGGUUCAGCUUCGGAGCUUCCCUCUUCCCGGGACGAAAUGCCUGACGAAGACGACAGUCUUGUCCCUGGAACCUGUGAUCUCUCUGCUCCCACGCUCUGGACCAGCAAGCUGCGGCCUGACUUGUGAAGCCUAGCUGGACUUGGAAGGAGACAGCUGGAGACACUGAUGAUGUCACAGUUUUUGGCAUAUAUUCAGAUGAACCUUAAUGUAUUUAUAACUAUGUCAUAUGAAGGAAGAUACAUUUAAUGCCAAACGAAAUACCGUGACUACAUUUAAUCAACAUAUGAGGAUAAUAAAGAAGUGGUUAGGCCCA